This 587-nucleotide long non-coding RNA is filed under the name Chrysolophus pictus (golden pheasant). Its description in RNAcentral is "lncRNA (ENSCPIG00010013147.1)". Lineage: Eukaryota; Metazoa; Chordata; Aves; Galliformes; Phasianidae. The record is from RNAcentral.
UCGUGCCCCCCCCCCCUCGCGGAGCGCAUUUAAAGCGGCGGCGGCGGCGGAGCUGCACCGCACACCAUGGGGGGGUCCGCGGCCGCGCUGUGCCUCGCGGCGUUGCUGGUCCUGGUGGACGGACGGCCGCUGACUCAGCACAAACCCCACGCACAUGGAGAUGGGCACCCGCAUGGGGCUGAGACCCCCGGCAACGACACCGCCCUGGCCCAGAUCUGCGGGGAUGAGGGCGGCUUCGACGCUGCAACGCUGAGCGAGAAUGGCACCAUGCUCUUCUUCAGAGGAGGGGACGUGUGGGAAAUCUCGUGGAAGAGACCCCAGCCCCACAGCCGCCCCCUGGCUGAGUCCUGGCCUGAGCUGGAGGGCCCCGUGGACGCAGCGCUGCGCAUCCACCGCCAGGAUCACCCCGAGGAGCACCAGAGCCUCUACCUCUUCCAGGCACAGAUGGGCAAGGGGGUCCUGAGCUGGGGGUGCUGGUGCUGGGAUUUUCAGGCUGGGAAUCUCAGAUUGAAGGUCCUGGGCUGGGGGUCUGAGCUGGGGGGUCCCAAGCUGGUGGUUCUGGGCUGGGAAGUCCCAGGCUGGGCAUC